Molecule: ribosomal RNA, 413 nt
Filed under: uncultured microorganism
Description: bacterial SSU rRNA
Rfam family: Archaeal small subunit ribosomal RNA
Source: RNAcentral
CAGCCGCCGCGGUAAUACCGGCGGCCCGAGUGGCGGUCACUAUUAUUGGGCUUAAAGCGUCCGUAGCCGGGUUGGGAAGUCCUCCGGGAAAUCUGGCCGCUUAACGGUCAGAAUGCCGGAGGAUACUCCCAGCCUAGGGAGCGGGAGAGGCCGAGGGUAUUCCCGGAGUAGGGGGGAAAUCCUAUAAUCCCGGGAGGACCGCCUGUGGCGAAGGCGCUCGGCUGGAACGCGUCCGACGGUGAGGGACGAAGGCCAGGGAGCAAACCGGAUUAGAUACCCGGGUAGUCCUGGCUGUAAACGAUGCGGACUUUGUGUCGGACAAGCUAUGAGCUUGUCCGGUGCCGGAGGGAAACCGUUAAGUCCGCCGCCUGGGGAGUACGGCCGCAAGGCUGAAACUUAAAGGAAUUGGCGGG